This 250-nucleotide ribosomal RNA is filed under the name uncultured bacterium. RNAcentral describes it as "partial 16S ribosomal RNA". It matches the Rfam family "Bacterial small subunit ribosomal RNA", at positions 524 to 773 of the family's 1533-position model. The record is from RNAcentral.
UACGGAGGGUGCAAGCGUUAUCCGGAUUCACUGGGUUUAAAGGGUGCGUAGGCGGUCAUGUAAGUCAGUGGUGAAAGCUUCCAGCUUAACUGGGAAACUGCCAUUGAAACUGUGUGACUUGAGUACAAUUGAAGUGGGCGGAAUACAUCAUGUAGCGGUGAAAUGCUUAGAUAUGAUGUAGAACACCGAUUGCGAAGGCAGCUCACUAAAUUGCAACUGACGCUGAGGCACGAAAGCGUGGGUAGCGAAC